RNAcentral lists this ribosomal RNA (253 nucleotides) under uncultured bacterium. RNAcentral's name for it is "partial 16S ribosomal RNA". It matches the Rfam family "Bacterial small subunit ribosomal RNA", at positions 524 to 776 of the family's 1533-position model. The record is from RNAcentral.
UACAGAGGGUGCAAGCGUUAUUCGGAGUUACUGGGCGUAAAGAGCACGUAGGCGGUUUGACAAGUCCGAUGUGAAAUCCCUGGACUCAAUUCAGGAAGUGCAUUGGAUACUGUCAGACUAGAGUAUGGGAGAGGAGAGCGGAAUUCCUGGUGUAGAGGUGAAAUUCGUAGAUAGCAGGAGGAACAACAGAGGCGAAGGCGGCUCUCUGGACCAUCAAUGACGCUGAGGUGCGAAAGCGUGGGGAGCAAAUAGG